AUUGAACGCUGGCGGCAUGCCUUACACAUGCAAGUCGAACGGCAGCACGGGUGCUUGCCCCUGGUGGCGAGUGGCGAACGGGUGAGUAAUACAUCGGAACAUGUCCUGUAGUGGGGGAUAGCCCGGCGAAAGCCGGAUUAAUACCGCAUACGAUCUACGGAUGAAAGCGGGGGACCUUCGGGCCUCGCGCUAUCGGGUUGGCCGAUGGCUGAUUAGCUAGUUGGUGGGGUAAAGGCCUACCAAGGCGACGAUCAGUAGCUGGUCUGAGAGGACGACCAGCCACACUGGGACUGAGACACGGCCCAGACUCCUACGGGAGGCAGCAGUGGGGAAUUUUGGACAAUGGGCGAAAGCCUGAUCCAGCAAUGCCGCGUGUGUGAAGAAGGCCUUCGGGUUGUAAAGCACUUUUGUCCGGAAAGAAAUCCUUGGCUCUAAUACAGUCGGGGGAUGACGGUACCGGAAGAAUAAGCACCGGCUAACUACGUG
This 486-nucleotide ribosomal RNA is filed under the name uncultured bacterium. Its description in RNAcentral is "partial 16S ribosomal RNA". It matches the Rfam family "Bacterial small subunit ribosomal RNA", at positions 30 to 507 of the family's 1533-position model. The record is from RNAcentral.